UACCAUUAGACAACACAUUAUGCUUCCAAUAUCUUCCCAGGCGGUAGUACCUCCCUGUUUGGUAGCUGCCUAUCUACCUUAUUGACAGUCAAUAUGCCAAACACUUCAGUAAGGCAUUUGAGGCACUCGAUGCUUACAAUGUAUACUAGAUCAGUGGUAACACAAGUAGCAACAGAGCUAAAGAAACAACAACAGGUACAUCCAUACUAACACCAGUAGCAGGAAGACCAUGAGGAUGAUUGUGUCACAGUGGACGAGCACAAUGGUGGUGGUGCUGGCGGUGGUGUCUUCUACGGCAGCUAUUAAGUGCUUCACUUGCUCCGACUGUGGUGACAGCGCUGGCACCCUCCAGGAGUGCUCCUCCAGCUCCGACGUCUGCAUGAAAAUUGAAGCUGCUGGACACACGAAGAAAUCAUGCGUAAACAAGGCUGUCUGCAGCUUGGGAACAGUUGAACAUGGAGUUGUGAAUGCAUGGAACAACUUUAAGAACUGGAUAAGCGAUUUUAAUCAAGACAUUGAGAUUUCAGAUGAAGCAGUGGCAAAGAUGAUAGAGUGUUGUGAUGACAACUAUUGCAACUCUUCUGUCUCCAAGCUGAUGAACCCUCUCUUCCUCCUCCUGCCUCUCCUUACGUGCCUGUUUUGGCACUAAAGGCUCACCUUGAGUAGACUUAGUAAGAUUGCUGUAUUGUAUUUUGCAUGCUAUUUUGUUUCUGGUAUUUGCUAUCCAACUUGUGGUAAACUCCAUUCAUAUCAGACUAAAUGUUUACUGUAUAGGUGAAAAUUGAACUAGACAUGUAUAGGGGAAACUAUAAACCAUAUAUAGUUGGGUUGAACCUCUUUAAUCCGACAGCCUUGGGACCCGGGCAGAGUCAAACGUUAGAAUUUACCAAUUUAUGGGAGUUUCGUCAAAGCUGUCGAGAAGACUUACUUCGAGAACCACAGUACAGAUACCACCUUCUCUCUUGCAUAUCUUAGAUACUAUUGGCUAAUAAUAAAAAACAUAUAAAAAGUAAAGAUAAAAGAAAAGUACAGUUUUAUUAUUUACUUACCUGUGUGUUCCUCCUGCAACCUAGCACAGUUCUUUGCUUUUUUAUGUCUGGUAGCUGCUUCUUCAGCUUCUGUUGCUAACAGUUUCCUUGACAUAGAGCACCAAAACAAUGUACUUCAGUCAAUGCUGUGAGUAUUUUAUCAGUGGCCAAUUUCUGAUUCAUAGUUCACAAAAUAAGAUCAUCCAUGUGUUUGACAGCUGAAUCCCAGCCACAGACACAGUACAAAAUUGAUGCCACUUUGCUUCUUAACCACUUGUGUACAGGGUUCCCUCUCUGCUGAAUAAAAUCUUCUGGGGGUAAGACAUAAAGUUGCAUCCCAUAGUGAAGGGGUUGAACUUAUGAAGCUAACCUUGAGAAUAUUCACUCAAAGCUAUGGAAUAACUUCACUUGCUCCAUCAACAUUUGCUUGUUUAAGGAACAGCUUCACUGUACUGUAGUUAACCUAAACCACUGCAUCGGGGCGUAUUCUUAAUAUUCUUACACGUAAGCAUAUAAGCUAAGUACAGGUUCAUUUUGUAAAAUCCAGUUUUAAGGAACUCCACUCUCAUAGUAAUUCUUAUUAAAAUUUUGACUGUAAUGUACUGGAUUCCAAUAGAGGAAAAGAUUAUUCCUGUUCACUGUGAAUUUAGACCCAAGUCCUUGGCUGUCGGUCACCAGUCCGUACUGCCAUAUCUUGGUGUCAGAGUCGAGCCCUUGGCGUAAACUGUGGCGUUCCUCUGCUGACACCUGCCUUGGCCUCCUCCUCAGUAAUUAAAUCGGUGUUUUCAGUUAUAUAAGUUACUUAGUGGACUUUAAAGCAUCAAGUAUGGUAUGUUCAUGUAUUUUAUGUAUUAAACCUGUACUACAUAAAUAAAGAACAAAGAACAA
Molecule: RNA transcript, 1916 nt
Organism: Homarus americanus (American lobster)
Lineage: Eukaryota; Metazoa; Arthropoda; Malacostraca; Decapoda; Nephropidae
Exons: 4
Source: RefSeq, a predicted model, not a curated record